Molecule: ribosomal RNA, 254 nt
Filed under: uncultured bacterium
Lineage: Bacteria
Description: partial 16S ribosomal RNA
Rfam family: Bacterial small subunit ribosomal RNA
Source: RNAcentral
CACGUAGGGGGCGAGCGUUGUCCGGAUUUAUUGGGCGUAAAGAGCUCGUAGGCGGCUAAGUAAGUCAGGUGUGAAAACUCCAGGCUCAACCUGGAGACGCCACCUGAUACUGCUUUGGCUAGAGUCCGGUAGGGGAGCAUGGAAUUCCUGGUGUAGCGGUGAAAUGCGCAGAUAUCAGGAGGAACACCAGUGGCGAAGGCGGUGCUCUGGGCCGGAACUGACGCUGAGGAGCGAAAGCGUGGGGAGCAAACGGG